This 429-nucleotide ribosomal RNA is filed under the name Chloroflexota bacterium. RNAcentral describes it as "Chloroflexi bacterium partial 16S ribosomal RNA". It matches the Rfam family "Bacterial small subunit ribosomal RNA", at positions 355 to 776 of the family's 1533-position model. Lineage: Bacteria; Bacillati; Chloroflexota. The record is from RNAcentral.
UGGGGAAUAUUGCACAAUGGGCGCAAGCCUGAUGCAGCCAUGCCGCGUGUGUGAAGAAGGCCUUCGGGUUGUAAAGCACUUUCAGCGGGGAGGAAGGCGAUAAGGUUAAUAACCUUGUCGAUUGACGUUACCCGCAGAAGAAGCACCGGCUAACUCCGUUCCAGCAGCCGCGGUAAUACGGAGGGUGCAAGCGUUAAUCGGAAUUACUGGGCGUAAAGCGCACGCAGGCGGUCUGUCAAGUCGGAUGUGAACUCCCCGGGCUCAACCUGGGAACUGCAUUCGAAACUGGCAGGCUAGAGUCUUGUAGAGGGGGGUAGAAUUCCAGGUGUAGCGGUGAAAUGCGUAGAGAUCUGGAGGAAUACCGGUGGCGAAGGCGGCCCCCUGGACAAAGACUGACGCUCAGGUGCGAAAGCGUGGGGAGCAAACAGG